UGUGCCAGCAGCCGCGGUAAUACGUAGGGUCCAAGCGUUAAUCGGAAUUACUGGGCGUAAAGCGUGCGCAGGCGGUUGUGCAAGACCGAUGUGAAAUCCCCGAGCUUAACUUGGGAAUUGCAUUGGUGACUGCACGGCUAGAGUGUGUCAGAGGGGGGUAGAAUUCCACGUGUAGCAGUGAAAUGCGUAGAGAUGUGGAGGAAUACCGAUGGCGAAGGCAGCCCCCUGGGAUAACACUGACGCUCAUGCACGAAAGCGUGGGGAGCAAACAGGAUUAGAUACCCCGGUAGUCC
RNAcentral lists this ribosomal RNA (293 nucleotides) under uncultured bacterium. Its description in RNAcentral is "partial 16S ribosomal RNA". It matches the Rfam family "Bacterial small subunit ribosomal RNA", at positions 504 to 796 of the family's 1533-position model. The record is from RNAcentral.